Molecule: ribosomal RNA, 499 nt
Filed under: uncultured bacterium
Lineage: Bacteria
Description: partial 16S ribosomal RNA
Rfam family: Bacterial small subunit ribosomal RNA
Source: RNAcentral
GACGAACGCUGGCGGCGUGCCUAAUACAUGCAAGUCGAGCGAAGUUUUUCUGGUGCUUGCACUAGAAACACUUAGCGGCGCACGGGUGAGUAACACGUAAAGAACCUGCCUCAUAGACUGGGACAACUAUUGGAAACGAUAGCUAAUACCGGAUAACAGCAUUAACUGCAUGGUUGAUGUUUAAAAGUUGGUUUUGCUAACACUAUGAGAUGGCUUUGCGGUGCAUUAGCUAGUUGGUGGGGUAAAGGCCUACCAAGGCGACGAUGCAUAGCCGACCUGAGAGGGUGAUCGGCCACGCUGGGACUGAGACACGGCCCAGACUCCUACGGGAGGCAGCAGUAGGGAAUCUUCCGCAAUGGGCGAAAGCCUGACGGAGCAACGCCGCGUGAGUGAAGAAGGAUUUCGGUUCGUAAAGCUCUGUUGUUAGGGAAGAAUGAUUGUGUAGUAACUAUACACAGUAGAGACGGUACCUAACCAGAAAGCCACGGCUAACUACGUG